GAUGAACGCUAGCGGCGGGCCUAAUACAUGCAAGUCGAACGGGAAAGGUGGCAACACCUUGAGAGUGGCGUACGGGUGCGUAACGCGUAUACACCUGCCUGUUACACGGGGAUAGCCUUGCGAAAGCGAGAUUAAUACCCGAUGGUACUAUUGAGCGGCAUCGCUUGGUAGUUAAAGCUGAGGCGGUAACAGAGGGGUAUGCGUCCAUUAGCUAGUUGGUAGUGUAACGGACUACCAAGGCGACGAUGGGUAGGGGUUCUGAGAGGAUGAUCCCCCACACUGGUACUGAGAUACGGACCAGACUCCUACGGGAGGCAGCAGUAGGGAAUAUUGGGCAAUGGACGGAAGUCUGACCCAGCCACGCCGCGUGCAGGAAGAAGGUCCUCUGGAUUGUAAACUGCUUUUCUUGGGGAAGAAAACCCUUCUGCGGAAGGAAUUGACGGUACUCAAGGAAUAAGCAUCGGCUAACUCCGUG
This 475-nucleotide ribosomal RNA is filed under the name uncultured bacterium. RNAcentral's name for it is "partial 16S ribosomal RNA". It matches the Rfam family "Bacterial small subunit ribosomal RNA", at positions 28 to 507 of the family's 1533-position model. The record is from RNAcentral.